UAACGACUGAACCAGCGAUUUGGGGGAAUGUUAAUAUGUAAAACAUAUGUUGAUUUAUUCAAUUAAAGUUCUAGCAGGUUAAUGAUAAUGACAAUUACCUGUCUAUAAGUCUUGACCAAAUCUUGUGCCAGCUGUCGCGGCAAGACGAGAAAGGCUGCGUUAUUCAUCUUUAAUAGGUUUAAAGGGUACCUAGACGGUAAGUCAACUAUUUAAAAUAAAGUAAUUUACUAGAGUUAAUAUACUAAGAGGUUAGAAUUGAUGGUGGUAAAGAUAAUAUUUAUUGAUACCAUGAAGGACUGGUAAAAGCGAAGGCAAUCCUUUAGUAUUAACUGACGUUGAGGGACGAAGGCUUGGGUAGCAAACAGGAUUAGAUACCCUAAUAGUCCGGGCAGAAAAUUAUGAAUGUCAUAGACCAACUAGUGGUCUAUAAAUGAAAGUGUAAGCAUUCCACCUCAAGAGUAAUGUGGCAACGCUGGAACUGAAAUCAUUAGACCGUUUCUGAAACCAGUAGUGAAGUAUGUUAUUUAAUUCGAUAUUCCACGAAGAACCUUACCAAACGACUGUUUGAUUAUUUAUAUAAAUAAUGUAGAACAAGUGUUGCACGGCUGUCUCCAGUUAAUGUCGUGAGAGAGAGAUUAUCACAUCCUUAAAAUUAACGUAAACCCUUAUUUUAUUUGGUGUAAUAAAAU
Molecule: ribosomal RNA, 689 nt
Filed under: Collemopsidium sp. s1415
Lineage: Eukaryota; Fungi; Ascomycota; Collemopsidiomycetes; Collemopsidiales; Xanthopyreniaceae
Description: SSU rRNA
Rfam family: Bacterial small subunit ribosomal RNA
Source: RNAcentral